AAUUACAUUAUUAUUAAUGUUGUAUUGUUGUUGUGUCAUCAUUAUUAAUCAUGAAUCAUUGAAUACAUGAUGAUUAAUCGGAAAUUCCAUGUCGAUGUCUCAAACUUCCUAUAUGUUUUACGGUGUACGGCGCACGGAAUACGACAUACGGCGCACGUCCGAUAGUAACGGAGACGGUGAUAACGACGGCCCGAUAACGGCCAGGAUCGAACUACGAGGCUCGUGUGAGAUGUCCACAAGACUGUCCGUGGUUUCUUUCUCUGACGCGGUAGGGAAGCGGACGCAAAAAUGUCGUGGAUACCUACCGACUCCUACCAUCUUACGCAUCCGGAAUUGCUGUCGGAUUACCAGCUACGCGAAAUCUUGAAAAUGAGGUGCAUCAGAACAUACGAAUUUGAAAAAAUGAGCAGAAGUGAACUGUUGCAAAUGUAUAAUCGAAUGGCAUUGCCUUUACCUCAACGGCAGCAUAACAUUGCUAACAGUGAUAACAAUAGACAAGACAACAGUAGACAGUUUAAUUGCAACAGCUUAGCUGCAGGGUCAAAUAAAACAAAUAAGAGAAAUGAAUCCCUUCAGAUGGAUAAAGUGAAUUUUCUUGAGAAUAAAAAGAUUAGAUUAUAUUCUCCACCAAAAGAAUCUAAUGGAAUUUAUAAACGUGUUCCUGAAGGAGAAAGUGAGGAUUUAUCAAAAGGAAAACGUCAGAAGAUCACAUAAAUAAGAGGAAGAAUAUAUUCUGUUCUCUUCUAAUUAUCACUGGGAAUUUAAUCUUAAGUAGCAAUACACUACUUGUGAUAACUUUAUAUAAAAGAUGCGGCAGGAAGGACAAGAAGCAUCACAACGAUAUCUCAUUACGUAAGCGAGUGGUUUACGAACAUGUUUCAUGGUCAUGAUCAGUGCUUCUCCUUAAUUAUACAUACCGAAUGAUUCAUCUUUGUUUAUGAAAGAAGAGACAGAAAUAAUUCACGUUCGAAUCUGUAAUCUAUCGUUCGUUCGCCAAUGAGAAGUGCCUCAUAUUCUUUAUAAUAUAAAAGCGAAAUCUCGGAAACUUUAAGAAUUUAGAAAUAAAAGACUUUACGAAUGCUUUUUUUGCGACGAUUUCAAGUCAAAAUGUUUUCUAGGAAUUCAUGGAAUUUGCUAUGCUACUUCUUGUUGAAAUGUAUAAUCUCGAAGAAGAUAGAUUUUUUAUCUUUCGUAAAUAAGUAGCAUUGAGUAACAUUUAAUAUUUUACAAGUAACUUGCGUAAUUUUUAAUUUUUUAUAAUUAUUCCAGAAAAUAAAAGCCAUACUUUCAACUAGUAGAUUAGAACCUGAAUGAAAUGGGUUUAAAUCCUCUAUGAACAUUUCGAAAAAUAGAUUCUCGAGAUGGGAUUAAAUAUGUUCCAACAUUUUAUGAGCGCUUUAUUAGAAAUUUUACGUUCUUUCAAGUAAAAAUAUUUGUAUUAUUAUAGUCUAUAAUAAUCACAAUCGUUAGAUUAUCAAUCGUUGAAAUUAAAUAAAUUAAAUAUAAUAAACAUAUACAUAAAAGAAUAAAAAUUAUUUAAAGUUUUACAUCAUAUGAGAUGGUUUUAAGUUUGACAACUUCCCAGAUAGUAUAAAGUUUAAAAUCUUGAUAUAAAAUAUCUUUAAGACAUCUUAUAUCCCGAACUUUGCGUUGUAUGGUUUAUUUUUAAAAUCUAAGUAUUGUAUAAGAUUUUUAUUCUUUACAGUAAAAAUUAUUUAUAAAUACAUUUCGAAUUCUGUAAGUGCACUCAUUCUAAAAUUUGAAAAUAAUUAGAUGAGAUUGAUUAUUUCGCAAGUUUAUGUAUAAAAUAUUUCUUAUGAAUAUUACUCGAAUCCCACAAAAUGAAACUUGAUUGUUGGAGUUAAUUCGGAUUUUUAACUACAUAUUAAAUUUGAUUUCAUUCCUAAAAA
RNAcentral lists this unclassified non-coding RNA (1910 nucleotides) under Pogonomyrmex barbatus (red harvester ant). Its description in RNAcentral is "uncharacterized LOC105427162, transcript variant X4". Lineage: Eukaryota; Metazoa; Arthropoda; Insecta; Hymenoptera; Formicidae. The record is from RNAcentral.